AAAGUUACAAUUCAAGAUUUUCUUUAUGCAGCUAUUCACAAGUUUUUGUGGAACUAUUAUGUAUGUGUGAUUGAUAGUGGUGCUUUUUGCCAACUUCUUAGAGAAAAGGAUUGAGAUAAAGGAGAUAAUUUGUAAAUUAUGUGGCCAUAAGACUUAAGGUAAUUAAAGACAAUAUUAUUUAAUCUUGUGGUGUGG
This is a long non-coding RNA of Perognathus longimembris pacificus (Pacific pocket mouse), 195 nucleotides long. RefSeq lists it as uncharacterized. The record is from RefSeq and is a predicted model, not a curated record. The transcript is spliced from 3 exons. NCBI's taxonomy places the organism in Eukaryota, Metazoa, Chordata, Mammalia, Rodentia, Heteromyidae.